Long non-coding RNA from Chenopodium quinoa (quinoa), 725 nucleotides. RefSeq lists it as uncharacterized. The transcript has 2 exons. The record is from RefSeq and is a predicted model, not a curated record. Lineage: Eukaryota; Viridiplantae; Streptophyta; Magnoliopsida; Caryophyllales; Amaranthaceae.
UGGUUUAUACGGGGAUGAGGGUGGUUUAUACGGAGGUUAGGGUGGUUUGUACGGGGUUAGGGCUAGUUUAUACAGGGUUGGUAGUUUUGGGUUUUUGUACAAGGUUAGGAGUUUUUCUACGGUGGUGUUAAGCGAGAUUGAGGUAUUUGUUAUUGUGAUAUUUUCUUGGUGUUUUUUUUUUAAUAUGUUAAAUUGAGUAUAUUAUUUUCUUUGCAAUUUGCAGUUUGCAGUUUGGCUCAAUUGAUUUCUUGAAAAUUGAAUAACAUGAUUGAUUUAGGUGCCUAAGAGUGGAUUUUGGUGAAGGCUGCAAAUGGGAUAAUAUAUGUUUAAAUUGAUUUAUUCCCUUAAUUUUGCUAUUGAUGAUGUUCCUGGGUGAAAAAUUUGAUGUUAGAUUGUGACAAGAUUUAUAAAUUGAAAUGCAUUUAGCUACGCAGGAAGAGGAAGAGAUGAUUUGUUGCUAAAUCAGUUGUUAAGGAGGAUGACCAAUUCAAGAAACUCGCUUAGUUGAUGUAUGGAGGGCUAAAGAAAUUACCAAGGAUGUGUUGAAUUCACUUGUUGUAUAAAAAUGAUGGGAAUGUUGUUAGUUUUGGUAACUUGUAAAUUAUUGUUACUUGUAAUUUAUUUCCAAAAAUUCUCUUAUAUAUGUAAAUUAUUGUUCGUAUAUACUUGUAAAUGUAACUACUAGUAAAUUCAAUAAUUAUAUAAGUUUAUGUAAAUUUAUCUAA